AGGAUAUAAAAAACAGCUGGGUGAUUUUUCCAGAUGUGAUUCCAGAUUGUUUUCCAAAAUGGCCAGAACCAUUCAAUAGGUUACUAGAACCUCUCUCUUCUCUGUGAAUUUCAAAACUACUCAACCCUGUUCAAACCAUUCUUUAGAGGAUGGGAUUUGGCUAUUUCCUGAUCAAUAACAAUAGAGAUGCUUGGAAUGACAGAAUCAGGUCUUGGAAAUUACAAUCUCCACCCUACUCAGGGUAACAGAAUUUAGGAAGGGCUGCAGCAAAGCUCAAGAUUUAAUUAUUUGAGAAUAUGAUCUUCAACAGACAUGUGCAAAGGGGACAGACCUCUGGGCGGUCCUGGGUGAAGCUAGAGCCACCAUUGGCACAGGUGAGACACAGGAAGUGAGGUAGAGGACAGCUGAGGAGUCUGGGGACUUCCUGUGUGGGGGAAAGGAGAUAGUUGGAGCCUGGUGCUUGGAGUGGAGGCCCUCAGACUGUUUCUCCAUUUUGGUCACGUGAGUGAUAGUAUGAUCCAGAGGUGCCAUUCCAGGUGAGAAGAAGCAAGGCAGAUGGCUAGAUGGCUGGUGCAGAUGAUUGGAUGGAAUGAAACAUCAAAGUAGGUCAAGAGUAAGUGCCAUCUUCUGUGGUCACAGGAAAAAGCUAAGCUUGCCUCAGAGCUACAGAGACCCAAAGCCUCAGAAGUCAGAAGAAGGGUCAAGAUCAAGACUAGGGGUUGCUGAAGUUUGAAGAAACUUUCACAUUGUCUAGUAACACCUCAUCCAUCUCAGCCUUGUCUAUUUUGUUGUUUUUCUUUGAGUUUCCCAUAAGAAUUUCUCUAAGAAAAUUCUCACCUUAAAUUUGCUGAACCAAGCAGAAGUGAACAACCUCCAGAGGGCUGGUGGCAGGGGCU
This 896-nucleotide long non-coding RNA is filed under the name Monodelphis domestica (gray short-tailed opossum). RNAcentral describes it as "lncRNA (ENSMODG00000036175.2)". Lineage: Eukaryota; Metazoa; Chordata; Mammalia; Didelphimorphia; Didelphidae. The record is from RNAcentral.